AUUGAACGCUGGCGGCAGGCCUAACACAUGCAAGUCGAGCGAGCGGCGGACGGGUGAGUAAUGUAUGGGGAUCUGCCCGAUGGAGGGGGAUAACUACUGGAAACGGUAGCUAAUACCGCAUACUAUCGGAUGAACCCAUAUGGGAUUAGCUAGUAGGUGGGGUAAAGGCUCACCUAGGCGACGAUCUCUAGCUGGUCUGAGAGGAUGACCAGCCACACUGGGACUGAGACACGGCCCAGACUCCUACGGGAGGCAGCAGUGGGGAAUAUUGCGCAAUGGGCGCAAUCCUGACGCAGCCAUGCCGCGUGAAGGAAGAAGGCCUUCGGGUUGUAAAGUUCUUUCGGUAGGGAGGCGUUACCUACAGAAGAAGCACCGGCUAACUCCGUGCCAGCCGCCGCGGUAAUAC
This 406-nucleotide ribosomal RNA is filed under the name uncultured bacterium. RNAcentral's name for it is "partial 16S ribosomal RNA". It matches the Rfam family "Bacterial small subunit ribosomal RNA", at positions 30 to 526 of the family's 1533-position model. The record is from RNAcentral.